This 391-nucleotide ribosomal RNA is filed under the name uncultured bacterium. Its description in RNAcentral is "bacterial SSU rRNA". It matches the Rfam family "Bacterial small subunit ribosomal RNA", at positions 28 to 420 of the family's 1533-position model. The record is from RNAcentral.
GACGAACGCUGGCGGCGUGCUUAACAUAUGCAAGUCGAGCGGUAAGGCCCUUUCGGGGGUACACGAGCGGCGAACGGGUGAGUAACACGUGGGUGACCUGCCCUCAGCUCUGGGAUAAGCCUGGGAAACCGGGUCUAAUACCGGAUAUGACUCCAUGACGCAUGUUGUGGGGUGGAAAGCCUUGUGCGGCUGAGGAUGGGCCCGCGGCCUAUCAGCUUGUUGGUGGGGUGAUGGCCUACCAAGGCGACGACGGGUAGCCGGCCUGAGAGGGCGACCGGCCACACUGGGACUGAGACACGGCCCAGACUCCUACGGGAGGCAGCAGUGGGGAAUCUUGCGCAAUGGGCGAAAGCCUGACGCAGCGACGCCGCGUGAGGGAUGACGGCCUCGG